This 497-nucleotide ribosomal RNA is filed under the name uncultured bacterium. RNAcentral's name for it is "partial 16S ribosomal RNA". It matches the Rfam family "Bacterial small subunit ribosomal RNA", at positions 28 to 507 of the family's 1533-position model. The record is from RNAcentral.
GAUGAACGCUGGCGGCGUGCCUAAUACAUGCAAGUCGAGCGAACGGACGAGAAGCUUGCUUCUCUGAUGUUAGCGGCGGACGGGUGAGUAACACGUGGAUAACCUACCUAUAAGACUGGGAUAACUUCGGGAAACCGGAGCUAAUACCGGAUAAUAUUUUGAACCGCAUGGUUCAAAAGUGAAAGACGGUCUUGCUGUCACUUAUAGAUGGAUCCGCGCUGCAUUAGCUAGUUGGUAAGGUAACGGCUUACCAAGGCAACGAUGCAUAGCCGACCUGAGAGGGUGGUCGGCCACACUGGAACUGAGACACGGUCCAGACUCCUACGGGAGGCAGCAGUAGGGAAUCGUCCGCAAUGGGCGAAAGCCUGACGGAGCAACGCCGCGUGAGUGAUGAAGGUCUUCGGAGCGUAAAACUCUGUUAUUAGGGAAGAACAUAUGUGUAAGGAACUGUGCACAUCUUGACGGUACCUAAUCAGAAAGCCACGGCUAACUACGUG